Molecule: ribosomal RNA, 433 nt
Filed under: uncultured bacterium
Lineage: Bacteria
Description: partial 16S ribosomal RNA
Rfam family: Bacterial small subunit ribosomal RNA
Source: RNAcentral
AACGAACGCUGGCGGCAUGCCUAACACAUGCAAGUCGAACGAGACCUUCGGGUCUAGUGGCGCACGGGUGCGUAACGCGUGGGAACCUGCCCUUAGGUUCGGAAUAACUCCCCGAAAGGGGUGCUAAUACCGGAUAAUGUCUUCGGACCAAAGAUUUAUCGCCUUUGGAUGGGCCCGCGUUGGAUUAGCUAGUUGGUAGGGUAAGAGCCUACCAAGGCGACGAUCCAUAGCUGGUCUGAGAGGAUGAUCAGCCACACUGGGACUGAGACACGGCCCAGACUCCUACGGGAGGCAGCAGUGGGGAAUAUUGGACAAUGGGCGAAAGCCUGAUCCAGCAAUGCCGCGUGAGUGAUGAAGGCCUUAGGGUAGUAAAGCUCUUUUACCCGGGAUGAUAAUGACAGUACCGGGAGAAUAAGCUCCGGCUAACUCCGUG